UACGUAGGGCGCAAGCGUUGUCCGGAAUUAUUGGGCGUAAAGAGCUCGUAGGCGGCCAGUUGCGUCUGCUGUGAAAUCCCGGGGCUCAACCCCGGGCGUGCAGUGGAUACGGGCUGGCUAGAGGCAGGCAGGGGAGAACGGAAUUCCCGGUGUAGCGGUGAAAUGCGUAGAGAUGUGGAGGAAUACCGAUGGCGAAGGCAGCCCCCUGGGCCAAUACUGACGCUCAUGCACGAAAGCGUGGGGAGCAAACAGG
This 253-nucleotide ribosomal RNA is filed under the name uncultured bacterium. RNAcentral's name for it is "partial 16S ribosomal RNA". It matches the Rfam family "Bacterial small subunit ribosomal RNA", at positions 524 to 776 of the family's 1533-position model. The record is from RNAcentral.